Molecule: ribosomal RNA, 795 nt
Filed under: Loratospora arezzoensis
Lineage: Eukaryota; Fungi; Ascomycota; Dothideomycetes; Pleosporales; Phaeosphaeriaceae
Description: Loratospora sp. DB-2019a partial large subunit ribosomal RNA
Rfam family: Eukaryotic large subunit ribosomal RNA
Source: RNAcentral
GCCCUAGUAACGGCGAGUGAAGCGGCAACAGCUCAAAUUUGAAAUCUGGCUCUUUCAGAGUCCGAGUUGUAAUUUGCAGAGGGCGCUUUGGCGUUGGCAGCGGUCCAAGUUCUUUGGAACAGGACGUCACAGAGGGUGAGAAUCCCGUACGUGGUCGCUAUCCUUCGCCGUGUAAAGCCCCUUCGACGAGUCGAGUUGUUUGGGAAUGCAGCUCUAAAUGGGAGGUAAAUUUCUUCUAAAGCUAAAUACUGGCCAGAGACCGAUAGCGCACAAGUAGAGUGAUCGAAAGAUGAAAAGCACUUUGGAAAGAGAGUCAAAUAGCACGUGAAAUUGUUGAAAGGGAAGCGCUUGCAGCCAGACUUGCCUGUAGUUGCUUAUCUGGACUUUUGUCCAGUGCACUCUUCUGCGGGCAGGCCAGCAUCAGUUUGGGCGGUUGGAUAAAGGUCUCUGUCAUGUACCUCUCUUCGGGGAGGCCUUAUAGGGGAGACGACAUGCAACCAGCCUGGACUGAGGUCCGCGCAUCUGCUAGGAUGCUGGCGUAAUGGCUGUAAGCGGCCCGUCUUGAAACACGGACCAAGGAGUCUAACAUCUAUGCGAGUGUUUGGGUGUCAAGCCCAGACGCGUAAUGAAAGUGAACGGAGGUGGGAACCCUUUGGGUGCACCAUCGACCGAUCCUGAUGUCUUCGGAAGGAUUUGAGUAAGAGCAUGGCUGUUGGGACCCGAAAGAUGGUGAACUAUGCUUGAAUAGGGUGAAGCCAGAGGAAACUCUGGUGGAGGCUCGCAGCGGUUCUGACG